Long non-coding RNA from Panthera uncia (snow leopard), 1399 nucleotides. RefSeq lists it as uncharacterized. Lineage: Eukaryota; Metazoa; Chordata; Mammalia; Carnivora; Felidae. The record is from RefSeq and is a predicted model, not a curated record. The transcript is spliced from 4 exons.
CACCCAAGGGGGGGCACGUCCCUCUGCCCGCGCCUCCCACUCCCAGCCCCACUGUGCUGGGCCCUGCCCCUUCCUUCCUUCGAGGAGCAUGUAGGGCGCCCCCCGUCGAUCCCCAGCGCUUGCCGUCCUCGGCGGGGACCCAGCGAGGGAGAAGGGGAGUCCUAACACCGCCGCCCGCCUGCUGGCGCCGCCCUCCCUGGAGCUCACGUACGAAACGGUGUUUUCUUUGUCUCUAGACCUUGUUCAGUCGAAUCUCUCCAGGUUCUUAAAGACGCCUUCAGGAACAGACUGGCCAGGCUGGCUGACUUCAGCCUCGCCGCCACCUGCUUUUCGUGCCUCUUCUCUUUUCCGAGCUCCUUCCUCCUCCGCGGGAGUGAAAGAAAGGGAGGCCCGUCCCGCGCUUCCCGGGUCUUGCCCUUGUCCUUGUUUGCCCGCUGCUGCUUCCCUGUUGUGGCCCAGAUGAGAAAACAGAGGUGCUAGCAUGUCAGGUAAACCCUGAGGGAUAAGAAGAGAUUCAUCUGCAAAAAGGAACUCCGGAGUGACUCAGCUGGGUCGUUCCGGCUCACGGCUCGUUCCCAUAUGGCGGCCAUCGAGAUGUCAGCCGAGGCCGUGGCCUUGUUUGAAAGCUCUGCUGGGCUGGGGGACCCCCUUGUGUGACAGUGCCCCACACCGCUUCUGGCGGGAGGCCUCAGUUUCUCCUCACAAGGUUGUCCAGAAGGCUCCUUGAGUGUUGCUUUAUGCAGCUCCCCCUAGGAGAGAGAAUGUGCAAGCAGGGAAGGGGCAGGGAGAGAAGGGGACAGAGGAUCUGUGUUGCCAGCACAGAGCCCGAUGCGGGAUUCAAACUCAUGAACCGCGAGAGCGUGACCCGAGCGGAAGUUGGAUGCUUAACUGGCUGAACCGCCCCGGCGCCCCUGUUGUGUGGAAUGCUCUUAAACUUUAAUCGUGACGUUUAUGUUUCCACUACAUUAUUUUUUUAUUGUGGUAAAAUGUGCAUAACGUAAAAUGGACCGUUUUAGCCCUUUUUGAGUGUGCACUUCGGUGGCAAGAAGUACGUUCACGUUGUGGUGCAACCGUCACCUCCAGAAAUGUUCACCUUCCCGAACUGAAACUGUACCCCUUAAACGCUGACUCCCCACCCCUCCCGCCUCCAGCCCAUAGUGACCCCCGCUUUCUGUCUUUAUGAAUUCAACUACUCGAGACCUCAGAGGGCUCCCUUGUGUCUGGCUUGACCCAGCACAGUGACUUCCAGAGCUCAUGCACGCGGUACGCGUCCCAGGGUGUCAUUCCCCUCAUGGCCGAAUAGCAUUUCAUUGUACGGACCACACUGUGUUUAUCCGUCGUUUGACGGUGGACAUUGGGGUGGUUUUCACGCUGGUAUUUUUAAGGCUCCGGAGUGAUA